CUGACUUCAAUUUGAAAUCAUAAAAAAAAAAUCAGAAUCGACAAAUCGUGAUCCCUUAUUCCAAUCUCUUGUUGUGGGAGACAAGACCACCUAAUAGUGGAUGGUGCAGGCAUCAUGGGCCGAUGGAAAGGCCGGUGGCCAUUGGAAUGUCCUACGGCCGUUGAGGGCUAUUGCACUUGAUGAAUACCUAAUGUUAGGCC
RNAcentral lists this long non-coding RNA (200 nucleotides) under Elaeis guineensis (African oil palm). RNAcentral's name for it is "long non-coding RNA (EGUI_LNC065773)". Lineage: Eukaryota; Viridiplantae; Streptophyta; Magnoliopsida; Arecales; Arecaceae. The record is from RNAcentral.